RNAcentral lists this ribosomal RNA (284 nucleotides) under uncultured bacterium. Its description in RNAcentral is "partial 16S ribosomal RNA". It matches the Rfam family "Bacterial small subunit ribosomal RNA", at positions 334 to 615 of the family's 1533-position model. The record is from RNAcentral.
AGGACCUACGGGGCGCAGCAGUGAGGAAUAUUGGUCAAUGGCCGAGAGGCUGAACCAGCCAAGUCGCGUGAGGGAUGACGGCCCUACGGGUUGUAAACCUCUUUUGUCGGGGAGCAAGACCCGCCACGAGUGGCGGAGCGAGAGGACCCGAAGAAAAAGCAUCGGCUAACUCCGUGCCAGCAGCCGCGGGAAUACGGAGGAUGCGAGCGUUAUCCGGAUUUAUUGGGGUUAAAGGGUGCGCAGGGGGACCAUCAAGUCAGCGGUAAAAUCGUGGGGCCCAAACC